UACGUAGGGUGCUAGCGUUGUUCGGAAUUAUUGGGCGUAAAGCGCGUGUAGGCGGCUGUCCAAGUCGGGUGUGAAAUCCCUGGGCUUAACCGAGGAAGUGCAUUCGAAACUAGACAGCUGGAAGACGGCAGAGGAAGGUGGAAUUCCUAGUGUAGAGGUGAAAUUCGUAGAUAUUAGGAGGAAUACCGGUGGCGAAGGCGGCCUUCUGGACCGUUCUUGACGCUGAGACGCGAAAGCGUGGGUAGCAAACAGG
RNAcentral lists this ribosomal RNA (253 nucleotides) under uncultured bacterium. RNAcentral's name for it is "partial 16S ribosomal RNA". It matches the Rfam family "Bacterial small subunit ribosomal RNA", at positions 524 to 776 of the family's 1533-position model. The record is from RNAcentral.